Molecule: ribosomal RNA, 406 nt
Filed under: uncultured bacterium
Lineage: Bacteria
Description: partial 16S ribosomal RNA
Rfam family: Bacterial small subunit ribosomal RNA
Source: RNAcentral
AUUGAACGCUGGCGGCAGGCCUAACACAUGCAAGUCGAACGAGUGGCGGAAGUGUGGGUAAUGUAUGGGAAACUGCCUGAUGGAGGGGGUUAACUACUGGAAACGGUUGCUAAUACCGCAUACAAUCGGAUGGGCCCAGAUGGGAUUAGCUAGUGGGUGGGGUAAAGGCUCACCUAGGCGACGAUCCCUAGCUGGUCUGAGAGGAUGACCAGCCACACUGGAACUGAGACACGGUCCAGACUCCUACGGGAGGCAGCAGUGGGGAAUAUUGCACAAUGGGCGCAAGCCUGAUGCAGCCAUGCCGCGUGUAUGAAGAAGGCCUUCGGGUUGUAAAGUACUUUCAGCGGGGAGGCGUUACCCGCAGAAGAAGCACCGGCUAACUCCGUGCCAGCAGCCGCGGUAAUUC